AUGAGUAAAAAUAAAUAUUGGACAAAUGUUUCACACAGGGACAGAGUAAAGAGAAUGAGUAGAACUAAAUAUCGGACAAAUGUUUCACACAGGGACAGAGUAAAGAAAUUGGGUACAAUAAAAUACCAGACAAAUCUUUCACACAGGGACAGAGUAAAGAGAAUGCGUACAAUAAAAUACCGUCAAAAUCUUCAGCAUAGGCAGCGUGUUAUUGCACGUACCAAAUUGAGGAUGCAAUGUAUAAAAGCAACAUUGAAUGAGUUUGAUUUAGUUAUGAAGCAGUUUUUGGCUAAAGUAAAUGAUGGCCCGGAUUUUGUCUGUUGUGUGUGCUUUAGAGGGUUGUUUCGUCAUCAAGUUUUAACUUGUAGAAGGAAGGAUUAUAGUAGAAGAAAAGAAAUCGGUUUAAUUGCAGAUAGAUGUAUUAGUGAAGAGUAUUUGCAUAAAUGUAGUACAGAUUGUGUAUUGCCAUGUCAGUGGUUAGAUACAGCUAGGGGUCAGUUGUGGAUUUGUUUCAGCUGUCACAAUAAAAUUAGUAGAGGUAUUACGCCACCUGAAUCUGCUUUAAAUAAUUUGGCAACGUGUUGUAUUCCACCAGAAUUGGCAUGCUUGAAUACUUUAGAGCAACAUUUAAUUGCGCUGCAUAUUCCAUUCAUGAAGCUACUGGUGUUGCCUAAAGGUGGGCAAAAUGGCGUCCAUGGGCCUGUAACGUGUGUUCCUGCUAAUAUUGUGCAGACGAGCAAUUUGCGGCCGUGGUUGGACAUGGAUGGAUCUUUGCUACCUGUCAAACUGAAGCGCAAGCUUACAUACAAAGGGCAUUAUGAGUACCAGUUUGUUAAUACUAUGCGCAUCAAGCAGGCUUUGCAGGAUUUGAAACAGACUAAUGUAUAUUAUAAGGAUGUAGAUUUUAAUGAAGUGUGGUUAAAUGAGUUUUGUAGGGAACAAGAGAGUGUGGCAGAACAGGAUAGUACAGCAGUAGAUGGUAAUGGUAAUGAUGACAGUAUUGCUGCUGCAGAGGAAGGUGAGCUUCUGCAUGACAGACAACAACAUUGUAUGUUUCAGGACACCUGUCUUAUGCCUGUUGACAUUGGUCAAGAAGCACUUGAUCAAUAUUUUGACUAA
Molecule: long non-coding RNA, 1119 nt
Filed under: Dicentrarchus labrax (European seabass)
Lineage: Eukaryota; Metazoa; Chordata; Actinopteri; Moronidae
Description: lncRNA (ENSDLAG00005026854.1)
Source: RNAcentral